Molecule: ribosomal RNA, 794 nt
Filed under: uncultured bacterium
Lineage: Bacteria
Description: bacterial SSU rRNA
Rfam family: Bacterial small subunit ribosomal RNA
Source: RNAcentral
AUACGGGGAUUUUUAAUUCAAGUGGCGGACGGGUGAGUAACACGUAAGAAUUUGCCUUUAGGAGGGGGACAACAACUGGAAACGGUUGCUAAUACCCCAUAUGCUUUCGAGUGAAAUGGAUUUUUCCGCCUAAAGAGAAGCUUGCGGCUGAUUAGCUUGUUGGUGAGGUAAUGGCUCACCAAGGCGACGAUCAGUAUCUGGUUUGAGAGGAUGAUCAGACACACUGGAACUGAGACACGGUCCAGACUCCUACGGGAGGCAGCAGUGGGGAAUUUUCCGCAAUGGGCGAAAGCCUGACGGAGCAAUCUCGCGUGAGGGAUGACGGCCUAUGGGUUGUAAACCUCUUUUUUCAGGGAGGAACAAAAUGACGUGUACCUGAAGAAUAAGCAUCGGCUAACUCCGUGCCAGCAGCCGCGGUAAGACGGAGGAUGCAAGUGUUAUCCGGAAUCACUGGGCGUAAAGCGUCUGUAGGUGGUUUGAUAAGUCAACUGUUAAAUCUUGAAGCUCAACUUCAAAAUCGCAGUCGAAACUAUUAGACUAGAGUAUAGUAGGGGUAAAGGGAAUUUCCAGUGGAGCGGUGAAAUGCGUAGAUAUUGGAAAGAACACCGAUGGCGAAGGCACUUUACUGGGCUAUUACUGACACUCAGAGACGAAAGCUAGGGUAGCAAAUGGGAUUAGAUACCCCAGUAGUCCUAGCCGUAAACAAUGGAUACUAGAUGUUGAACAGAUCGACCUGUGCAGUAUUAAAGCUAACGCGUUAAGUAUCCCGCCUGGGAAGUAUGCUCGCAAGAGUG